This 4816-nucleotide long non-coding RNA is filed under the name Paramuricea clavata. The record is from RNAcentral. Lineage: Eukaryota; Metazoa; Cnidaria; Anthozoa; Malacalcyonacea; Plexauridae.
GUGAUGUGUGAAUGUAAAAGCAAAUAAAUUACUGUGCUGUUCGUAUCUAUGCACAGACCGAUCCGAGGCUGCGUUCCAGUGCAAGUGAAAGGUCUUAAGAGGUGCUAAAAAUUUAGUCACUUUUGAUCAUUAGUAAUAAUUUGGUAUGCUUAAGUGAAUUGAUGUUAUGACGCUUGCUUUUCGGUGUUUUCACCUGUUUGACCCGGGCUAGAUUCCAGGAAUAAAUUCAUAUUUUCACCUUGGUAAAAUGUGAAUUUGUCCCCAUAAUCCCAUUGAAGCUUGUGAAUUUACUAAUUCGUGUUUUCUAUUUUUAGGACAGAACAUAUCUUGGUCUAUAAAUUAAUCUCUCUUUUGAUUGGUUAGUUCUAAUUAGAUUAGAUUAUUGUUCAUGAUUUGGUUAGUUCUAAUUAGAUGAUAUUAUUGUUCAUGGGGGGAAGAUCAGUGAGUGCCAUCUAUAGUUGUUGUUCAUAACUUCACUGCUCAAUGAAUGAAUAUGCAGAUCUGCAUGGCACCAACACUAUACAGGGUGUAUAAAAAAAGGUCAUCGAACUUCAGCACGCUAUUGUAUCUGAAUUACUCUGCAUAUUCGGAAAGAUCAGUCUUUUAUCUGUCGAAUGAUACGUUCUUCAUAGCAAAUGGAUAAAAAAUGAGCAAAUGCGAAUCCGAUAAAAAAUGUUAGUCAGAAUCGCAUAUUUUCACCGUUGAGAGUUGGGUCUAAAACCAUUGAACCCUCUUUGGUACUUAAGUUGAUGAAUUUCACCACGCAAAUAUUCAUAAUUAUUAUUAAGUAGGAAUAAAUCUUAGCUAAGCUACGACAAGUUCGUGAUUAAUUGCUUUUUCUUUUAUGCACUGCUUUAAUUAGGCACAGAGGUGAAAAUAUGCGAUUCUGACUAACAUUUUUCAUCGGACUCGUAUUUGCUUAUUUUUUCUCCACUUGGCAUGAAAAACAUGUCAUUCAAUAGCUAAAAGCAAGAUCUUUCCGAAUAUGAAAAAACGUUGUUCAUACGCCGAGUAAUUCACGUACAAUAGCGCGCUGAAGUUCGAUUACCCUUUUUUUAUACACCUGUAUAUUAUGCAAUAAUUUGAAGCAUCAUGUGAUUGCAUACCGGCACUAGCCAACCGUUCUUCCAUUUCACUGAUGUGCGUUGGAUAAAGUGUCCUCUAUUCUACGGUGUUUUAUCGCCUCAAUGCUCUGUCAAAGUGCAGACAAAUGGCACCAACUCGGAAACGGUUAAAGUACUUUGACACUACAGGUGCUUGAAUAGCCAAACCUACCAAUAUCUCUCUUCAGUGAUGUGUGAAUGUAAAAGGAAAUAAAUUACUGUGCUGUUCGUAUCUAUGCACAGACCGAUACGAGGCUGCGUUCCAGUGCAAGUGAAGGUCUUAAGAGGUGCUAAAAAUUUAGUCACUUUUGAUCAUUAGUAAUAAUUUGGUAUGCCUAAGUGAAUUGAUGUUAUGACGCUUGCUUUUCGAUGUUUUCACCUGUUUGACCUGGGCUAGAUUCCAGGAAUAAAUUCAUAUUUUCGCCUUGGUAAAAUGUGAAUUUGUCCCCAUAAUCCCAUUGAAGCUUGUGAAUUUACUAAUUCUUGUUUUCUAUUUUUAGGACAGAACAUAUCUUCAUUUGAAAACAACAAUCAAAAUGAACUCCAUUGGCUGCUUAGCUGCCUGUCUCUUGCUUCUGGCUUUGCCAAGCUCUGCUCGGUACAUGUAGGUAUCGAAUUAAUAGGCCACAUGCAAUGCGUCAAACCCUUUCCUUUCUACAGGCUUACCGUAGUAGAGAAGGGCAAUAUGGACGAACAAAAGAUUCGUACUUCGCAUAUAAUCCCCCUCCUAUUUAUUUAAUAACUUCACCUUCUACACAGUAUUAUAAUAUAUUUAUUGUAUCCCAAAUUCUUAAACGCUACACUUUCACGUCUAAUCUUAGCCCUUAUCCUUGUGAUAUACACUAAUUUCGGAACCGCGCGUACUGUAAUGCGGAAAAGAAUCUCAAAAUAUUAACGAGUUAAAUGUGUAUUUUAGAAGACAAGAACCAACUGGAAGAUGGCUGAAUGCGGCUGGAAAACAGGUCCUCGAUGAAAUACAAUUUAGACGGUAACGUGGAAAAUUGUGAUAUUCAGUUAAGGUUACAUGCAGGACACCUUUUGUGCCUUUCUGCGAAGAAUCUCUACUGCGCUUUUUAUCAAAACUUCAUCAAAUCUUCAUUAGUGUCAAAAGGGUCUCAAGUCGACAAACAAUAAAAUGAUUUAUAAAUUAUACAGGAAUUUUUAAAAGCGCAAUAACUUCACGCCUCUGAGUUAUGCUCCUGCCGGUUUUAAUUAAAAUAUAUUUUUUCAAAAAUGUCAUUCAUAUCCAGCUAAAUAGUUGUUCUAUAAAAUGGUGCCGAAUUUUUUUAUUUAUUUCGCCAUUCGUCUGAUAUAGCGACUUCUUUGAAGCCUAUGUUAUAUUUCAGAUUUUUUGGAAUGAAUCGCUCGCAAUUCACUAAAUAUCAAAAAUUAAAAGAAAGCCUGGCACCUUUGAAGCUGAGAUUUUCAGCUGUCUGCUGUGCAAACUCAGAAAAACCUGUUUAAACUGACCGCAGCAUAACACGCUUAAAAUCUGAAGUUGCGGAAAACAUUUAAUCGAGAAAAUCGAAUUUAUAUAUAUUUAUUAUUAGCAUGACAAAAUUACUGGAUGCUGCAUGAUUGGUUGAGAGGAGUACAAUUAUUUCAUUAAUUGUACUGCAGUACAAUUAAUGAUUUUCCCAAAACAAACAAAAUGGCAGAAAGGUAUUUUUAAAACACAUUUGUGUUUGAAAUUGUCCCAGAAGAACUAGAUGACAAUACGAACAAAAGCACCAAAUUUUGCUUUAACAAAAGAACUAAAUGAAAAUACGAACAAAGCACCAAAUUUUGGUUGAAAGUCUGGCAGGACUGGGCAUUGGCGAGACAAUAUGAUGUUGACAUUGAGAAGUAUCCAAUUCGACGGCUCGUCCAAUUUUGGCAAAAUUUCCAAACAUCACUCGUACUAUUAAUCCCUAAUUGUACUCGCCAUCGGCAUGAUUACCUAUACUUAUAUCAACUUCGCGGAUUUUUUUCACUUAAGGUGAUUCAUCAGUAAUUGUUAUGGAAAUGAGAAUUUGUUGAAACUUCCCAUGCAGGGGUGAAGUUUAUGAUAUGCGCACAAUAAAAACAGAAAAAAAGUUGGGCCGACCCCGAAUUCGUUUCGAAGAUAUGACAAAGUGCAAUAUGCCACCUUUCCCCACAUAUGGCGCCAUCUUGGUCGUUUUACGAGUUACAGGAACAAUUAACCGCAAUUGCUCAACCGUUAUUGAAUUUUUUAACACGGAUGCUACUGAAAAUGUCUAUCUAGUGAUAAUAUACAAGAAAACAUGGUAUUUUAGCGAAUCAAAAACCAUUGAUGUGCAUUGUCGAGGUGCAAAGAUCUUUUUCAUCUUCUCAUACAUGUUAUUCCAGGGAGCAUGCCCGAAAAAUGUAAAAUAUUAUAAGUUGUAGAAACGAUUUUUUUCUUAUUUUCAUGACAUGUAAAACGUAUAUAAGAAAAAUACAAUGGUUAAACAUGUAACAUGAUGUGAGUUAGUGUUAGUUGCACAGGGAGCCCUAGCCGGGCCAGAGUUCAGUAAUUUUUGAAGGAAUAUUUCCUGAAGCACGCCUAAUCUGUCUCACUAGACCUCUGCAGAUUGUGCUCGGCAACUUUUGAGCAACUUUUGACGAUUUGAGCAACUUUUGACGAUUUGAACAACCUGAAGCAACUUUUGCCUUAUUGAGCAACCGUAACCAACUUUUAAUCUUUUACACAUUUCACACGAAAAAAAGUGACACAAUUUAUGGUAUGGCUGCCUAAUAAUGCCUAACGAAUUAAAAAACAAAAUCUUGACCCGACUAACAUAUUUGAACAAUGACGAAAUAAUUGCAAGUUUGAAGCGAGAGCUGCCGGAGUAUCUAGCUGCUACAGAUGGUGUAUCUAUGGAGUAGUGAAGAUGAAAAGUUGGCGUGUUUGGCAGCCCAUAUAGCUAAUAAAACACUUCCGAAUUGGUCAGUUUUGGUUCAGAAACAAUUGCUCUUGCAACCGAGUUCAGCUUCUGCCGAAAGAGUCUUCAGCCUAUUAAUUAAACAAUGUAUUCAACGGCCAGUAAGAUUCCUCACUUACGGUCUAUCUUGAAUCCUCAGUGACGCUCAGACAGAACAACGCUAAAAGAAAUUCAUUAGCGCAAAUGUAUUUACUUUAUAAUCAGGAUGUAAGAAAUGUUGCUAGAGACUGUUCACUGUUCAGCACAUAUCGACUUUACAGUUAUAAUCUGAUGGAUUAACAGUAUCUACUUGUCUCUAAACCUUGUAUUCGAAUUGUCUUGUUAUUUACCUAGUACAAUAGAUUGUACUUGCUCAGUUUUUAGUAUGCUUUUCAUGAACAUCCAUGAAAAAUACCAGCAAUUAUUAGCAACUUUUUGAAAUUUAAGAGCAACUUUUCCACUUUUCUGGCAACUUUUGAGGAACUUUAGCAGUUUUUGUAGCAACGUUUUUGAAAUUCUUAAACGCUACACUUUCACGUCUAAUCUUAGCCCUUAAUCCUUAUCCUUGUGAUAUAAUUUCGGAACCGCGCGUACUGUAAUGCGGAAAAGAAUCUCAAAAUAUUAACCAUUUAAAUGUGUAUUUUAGAAGACAAGAACCAACUGGAAGAUGGCUGAAUGCGGCUGGAAAACAGGCCCUCGAUGAACUACAAUUUAGACGGUAACGUGGAAAAUUGUGAUUUUCAGCUAAAGCUAUACAUGCAGGACACCUUUUGUGCCUUUCUGCGAAGAAUAUCUACUACGCGCUUAAUA